GUCCUAGAGAGAAGAUGGAAUCGUUUUGUUUUAUUAGGUGUAUAAGGAAACUAUUCAAACAAUUUAAAAUUGAAACAGCUCCUUUAAUGAUAUAUAAAUAUAAUAAGCUGUAUACGUGACAGUCUGUAUAAUGAUCUCUGAUUGACCUUAAAUCUUUUAAGUAGGUACAAAUAUGAU
Long non-coding RNA from Bombus impatiens (common eastern bumble bee), 177 nucleotides. RefSeq lists it as uncharacterized. The record is from RefSeq and is a predicted model, not a curated record. NCBI's taxonomy places the organism in Eukaryota, Metazoa, Arthropoda, Insecta, Hymenoptera, Apidae. The transcript has 4 exons.